Molecule: ribosomal RNA, 253 nt
Filed under: uncultured bacterium
Lineage: Bacteria
Description: partial 16S ribosomal RNA
Rfam family: Bacterial small subunit ribosomal RNA
Source: RNAcentral
UACGUAGGGUCCGAGCGUUGUCCGGAAUUAUUGGGCGUAAAGAGCUCGUAGGCGGUUUGUCGCGUCUGCUGUGAAAUCCCGAGGCUCAACCUCGGGCCUGCAGUGGGUACGGGCAGACUGGAGUGCGGUAGGGGAGAAUGGAAUUCCUGGUGUAGCGAUGGAAUGCGCAGAUAUCAGGAGGAACACCGAUGGCGAAGGCAGUUCUCUGGGCCGUAACUGACGCUGAGGAGCGAAAGCGUGGGGAGCGAACGGG